Molecule: non-coding RNA, 225 nt
Organism: Blumeria graminis
Lineage: Eukaryota; Fungi; Ascomycota; Leotiomycetes; Helotiales; Erysiphaceae
Source: Rfam
CACACAUCGUAGUCGGAUACGAAUAGGCCUAUGGCCCUGAAUCUUAGCUAGUUGGCAAUGGGACAGCGGGAGAAGUCCACUGUCUCAGCUGACGCCUUGCAAUUUUACCAUGCGUGGGGAUAAAACCUUUGCAUACGACUUAGUUAUAUCAGACGGUGCUGUAAAUAGUAGAGUAGUCUUGUUAUUACGAUCUAUUGAGGCUAAGCCGCGCUGAUUUAGUUUUGU